GUGAGGGGAGCGGUCCGUAAAGUACAGUGACAUAAGUCUGGCUCCAAGGGUGGUUGGCAAGAGACCUCUGUGAAUGUCUCCUACAUGUGAAGUACCAGAUCGAGCCAAUUCUUUGAGAUGAGGUGUGGGCAGGGCUGCUGUAGGCUGCUGAUACACAGGAACUACAAGACCUAGAUGCGGGGAAGGUAGCCCUCCUCCCAGUGGUGAGUCAAGAGGAGAUCUGGAUGAAUGCGUGGUUUCAAGGUGCUUCCGCUUCAUCUUUCUGCAGAUAAUUCUGCAUUUUCCAGCAGGGGAAGAAGACGAUAGGAGAGGAAGAAGAAGAAGAAAGUCGUCGUACCUGGACUUUGAAACUCAAGACUAGCCAUGUAGCCAACUUCUUUGGGGGAAUGGACAUCAAUGAUAUAGUUUCCAACCCUGACAGAAGAAAGUAAGAAACAGUAUUUUUCUGUUCUUUGGUCAGAGUUGCUGUGGUUGUAUUAUUUGCUGCCACCAGGGCUGGGGGUGGAGCUUCCUUCUGCUCUGGCUCCCACUUCAGGGCCAGAAGGGCCUUUGGCCAC
RNAcentral lists this long non-coding RNA (557 nucleotides) under Chinchilla lanigera (long-tailed chinchilla). Its description in RNAcentral is "lncRNA (ENSCLAG00000026121.1)". Lineage: Eukaryota; Metazoa; Chordata; Mammalia; Rodentia; Chinchillidae. The record is from RNAcentral.